AGAUUAGCAAGUACGUGCAAGAAAUGUGGAGUCAUUCCUUACCCUCUCCUCUGUUCCAACAAAACCCAUAUUCUCAUUCACUCUACCAUUGCACUUUUCCCACGGUUUCUUUCCCCCAAGCUCCUCCUCAUAGUCUCAUGAGCAUGUAUGGCAAAUGGGUUUUCAAUUCUCUGACUGUAAGGUCCAAAUCCAAACCCAGCAUCAACAGAGAGCUUAUGCUGCCCCCGUACAAUGUUCUUAUUACCGGUUCAACCAAAGGCUUUCAAAUUGCUAGAAGAAGCUUGAGGAGAAUUUAGCACAAACGAUUUCACUACUCUGAUUAUUAUGUGUUUUUUAAUUUCUCUCUGUUUUCUAUAGGAAUUCUCAUGAAUAAACAGAUUUUGUUAUAAAUAGUUAUGUCAAAGUUCAAUUUUUUCAUUGAGUAUUUGGAGUGUUGAAAGACUUUAAAAAACUUUUUUCUUUUCCUUUUUUUUAGAAGGGAUGGUUCUGCUUCUUUAUUGAAUCCAACAAGUCUUUUUGUUCCAAGCAAGAUUUAUUUUUCCAAAGUAAAGAUGAGCAGAAGAGUUUCUAGCAGUCAAGAACCAGUUAAAAAUGACAUUUCAAACAUGGGAUUUCAGACAACAUCGAUACCAGACAUUACAUUUGCUCUAGUAGUGGUAUAGGAUAUGCUCUGGCCAAAGAGUUUCUAAAAGCAGGUGACAAUGUUGUAAUCUACCCAAGAUCAGCAGAUGGUGUGGAAUCAGCUGUCCAACAACUUUGACAAGAAUUUGGGGAGCAGCAUGUGGUACUCAAUGUGAUGUUAGAGAAGGACAGGAUGUGAAAGAUUUAGUUGCAUUUGCACAAAGAAACCUCGGAUACAUUGAUAUAUGGAUUUGCUGCAUAUGGGGCAACAAAACGCAGUGUGGUACAUUUAACCAAAUCAUUACAGAGCUCCCUGAUUUUUUGCAGGCGGGAUUGCGGAUGCAAGAUGUCAAAAAUGUUGUUGUGCAUAACCUUUCGGCGAAGUUUUUUAUCAAUGUUUUGGCAGAACCAGCUGAAGUGGUUGCGAAUCCAUCCUUGCCAAUGGAUCAUGAAGCCAACUUACAUCCGUUUUCUUACUGGCUUGAAAGCCUACACUCAAAUUUUCUCAAGAAUUGCUUUUGGUUCUAGAAGAAGCAGAUAUGUGCUUGAAAAUUGAUUGGGAUGAGAGAUAAAUGAACUCAUAUUUGAGAGACCACCUCAUAAUGUGCAUAAAGUAGUUCUUGCUACAAAUAUGGCGGAAGCAAGUAUUACAAUCAAUGAUAUAGUUUUUGUUAUUGACUGUGGAAAAGCAAAAGAGACAACUUAUGAUGCUUUAAAUAAUACACCUUGUCUACUACCAUCUUGGAUAUCACAAGCAUCUGCACGACAAUUAGCAGGGACAGCAAAGUCUAGAUUUUCUGCAAAGGAUUACAGUGAUUAUAUGGCUCUUGUUCGUGCAUAUGAAGGAUGGAAAGAUGCAGAAAGAGAAGGAUCUGCAUAUGAGUAUUGCUAGAGACAUUUCCUCUCAGCUCAAACUCUUCAGGCUAUCAUUCUCUUCGGAAGCAGUUUAGCUUCAUUUUAAUAGAUGCUGGCUUGGUAAUGAAGAUGCAAGCAUCAACAACAGAUUAAGUCACAACCAAUCAUUAGUCCGUGCAAUUAUUUGUUCUGGCCUUUUUCCUGGCAUAGCAUCUGUAGUGCACCGAGAGACAUCCAUGUCUUUCAAAACAAUGGAUGAUGGCCGGUUUUACUAUAUGCAAGGAUGUGGUGCGCCUCUGAACCCCUUUUCAUGUAUGAUAAUUAAGGUCCAGUUAUGUAUGUCAAGCCAGCAUCAUAUACUCCUGUACUCUCUCUUUUGCCCACCAAAUAAUAUUUGGAAACCAAAUGUGGUUCUUAUGCGUAAACAACCAAACAACCAUGGGUUGUGAAUACCAAGAGUCAAGGGCAAACAGCAUAAAUAUGAUGUGAAGUUACUAUUUUAUCUCCAAGUUCAAGCUGCUAGGAAGAGUCCAAUUAUUUAUCAUUCGUUAGCAAUUCCACCUAUCUACAUGGGAAUGGGAGGUGGCAGAUUCUCACCUUUCCACUAAUGACCUUUCAUGCUUUACAGCUAUGAUCGUGUACUUUAAUGCGUAUCAGAAGUCUACAAUCUAGUUUAAUGCCUCAAAAGUAUAGAAUUUUGUGAAUGCACGUUACCAAACUAUUCCUUAUCCAUGGCUGGUAUUUGGUGAAAAAGUUAAGGACAAUACUGUUUUCAUGUGUGAUUCCACUGGUGUCUCUGAUUCAAUACUCAUUCUUUUUGGUGUUGCGCUGAACCAAGGAGUGCAGCCUGGACAUUUGAAAAUGUUAGAAGGGUUUGUCAACUUCUUUAUGGAUCCUAGUUUGUCAGAAUGCUAUUUGAAGCUAAAGGAAGAACUUAACAAGCUCAUCCAAAAGAAGCUUGACGAUCCUAGCCUGGACAUUCACAAGGAAGGGAAAUAUCUUAUGCUUGCGGUUCAAGAGCUGGUAUAUCUGGAGAUCAAUGUGAAGGGAGAUUUGUAUUUGGCAGGGAUAGCAAGAAGCCAAAUGAGUCUGGUAACGAUGACAGAUUCACAAGAGAUGGAACGAAUCCCAAGAGCUUGCUUCAAACUCUGAUAAUGAGGGCAGGGCACUCUCCUCCAAAAUACAAACCAAAGCACCUCAAGACAAAUGAGUAUAGUGCGCUGGUAGAGUUCAAGGGUUUGCAAUUUGUUGGAAAACCUAAGAAAAACAAGCAGCUUGCUGGAAGGGAUGCUGCUGUAGAGGCAUUGGCAUGGUUAACUCAUACUUCUGACAACAGUCGAGAUGAAGAUGACAAGCCCCCACCUGAUUUGACUCACAACAUUCGUAAACUUCUUGGGAAAUGUAGAAGAUCAAAGCGUUGGUCUGGUUGAUGAUGGAUGAUGGAAAAUGGUAAGAGAUUUGACAUAUAAUUUCUCGGAAUCCUUGGUUAGGAUUUCUGCACUUGUGACCUGCAGAAUGCAUUAUGUAGUAAAAUUUGGCGGCUGGAGGGUACAGGGAAGUUUUCUAACCACGUAAAUACUCAUUCAGUUACCUUCGUUAGGUGCAUGAAUAACAGCUUUCCUCAAAUGAGAUAAUCUUUACAAAGUUCAACUAUGAUUGCAUUAUUUUUCCAUAGCAAUGAGAAGUUUAUAACGGUGAAUAACUUCUCAUCAAAUUUUUGACCCCUAGUUCUGUAACUUAUCAUAAGUCAUAACUUGGCACACAGGAAGGUUCGAAAGUUUCCAACAAUACAGGGUUUCAUCUAUCUGUAGUUGAAACUAGUUCAGGUGAGCAAAAAGAUGGAGAACGCAAUGGCUUGACCAAGCAGUCACCCUCAGAAAGGAAACUGAAUUACAUUCGAUAGCUUUGUGGAAAAAUGUAUCCUUUUUAUCACAUAAAAUAUUGUAAUUUUCUGUAAAUUAUUCAAUGAACUCAUUCUUUAUUC
RNA transcript from Ziziphus jujuba (common jujube), 3460 nucleotides. RefSeq lists it as uncharacterized. Lineage: Eukaryota; Viridiplantae; Streptophyta; Magnoliopsida; Rosales; Rhamnaceae. The transcript is spliced from 18 exons. The record is from RefSeq and is a predicted model, not a curated record.